This 510-nucleotide ribosomal RNA is filed under the name uncultured bacterium. Its description in RNAcentral is "partial 16S ribosomal RNA". It matches the Rfam family "Bacterial small subunit ribosomal RNA", at positions 28 to 507 of the family's 1533-position model. The record is from RNAcentral.
GACGAACGCUGGCGGCGUGCUUAACACAUGCAAGUCGAACGAAGAGCGAUGGAAGCUUGCUUCUAUCAAUCUUAGCGGCGAACGGGUGAGUAACGCGUAAUCAACCUGCCCUUCAGAGGGGGACAACAGUUGGAAACGACUGCUAAUACCGCAUACGAUCUAAUCUCGGCAUCGAGGAUAGAUGAAAGGUGGCCUCUACAUGUAAGCUAUCACUGAAGGAGGGGAUUGCGUCUGAUUAGCUAGUUGGAGGGGUAACGGCCCACCAAGGCGAUGAUCAGUAGCCGGUCUGAGAGGAUGAACGGCCACAUUGGGACUGAGACACGGCCCAGACUCCUACGGGAGGCAGCAGUGGGGAAUCUUCCACAAUGGACGAAAGUCUGACGGAGCAACGCCGCGUGAGUGAUGACGGCCUUCGGGUUGUAAAGCUCUGUUAAUCGGGACGAAAGGCCUUCUUGCGAAUAGUGAGAAGGAUUGACGGUACCGGAAUAGAAAGCCACGGCUAACUACGUG